GAAUGCAUUCAUUGCCCGCCCGACGCCAUUUAAACUUUCGAAACUUUUAUCGAUGUUUAAAUGAAUCUAGAAGAUAUGUAUAUAUGGGUUUACAUUUAUCUUUAUCUUUUACGGAAUUCAACGUAUCAUCAGCAAACAGAUAAACUGUAAUAUUUCAACAUGUUAAUGGCGCAAGUGAUAUCAUCCAUGUGUAUGAGCCAUGUUGAAGAAUAGCUAUUAAUGCGCGCGUCAAUUUGAAACGCGGUUACAUCGGUUUCGUCGUCCCUUCGCGUGUUUGCUUUUUGCAUCGUAAAUCUCUUCUGUGAUUUAUCCACUUCACCUCCUUUCCGCUGUUUUUGCGAUACUUCAGUUUCCAGGACAAUCGGAUCUUUGUGUAACGCUUUGCCUAGAUUUAUAGUGCACGAGAGCAGACACGUUUCUAAAGUACAUGAAUCGUGUGUUAUAAGUAAAAUGACAAGAGAGUUGCUUGCAUUUUGUGUCUGGUCAGUUAUUCUGGUUUUGAAGAAUCUGAAAAUUAAAUGAUUUUAAAAAUGUGUAAUUAAAUUUGUGUAGGAUUUAAUAGAAAAGGAGUAAUGAUUUCUUGUAAAAUGAUCGUAAGUUUCUGUUCUUAGUUCUUUAGUUUUUAAAAAAAAUUGUAAGAUUCUUUUUAAUA
Apis florea (little honeybee) is the source of this 652-nucleotide long non-coding RNA. Lineage: Eukaryota; Metazoa; Arthropoda; Insecta; Hymenoptera; Apidae. The record is from RefSeq and is a predicted model, not a curated record.